This 467-nucleotide ribosomal RNA is filed under the name uncultured bacterium. RNAcentral's name for it is "partial 16S ribosomal RNA". It matches the Rfam family "Bacterial small subunit ribosomal RNA", at positions 28 to 506 of the family's 1533-position model. The record is from RNAcentral.
GACGAACGCUGGCGGCGUGCUUAACACAUGCAAGUCGAACGGAAAGGCCCUGCUUUUGUGGGGUGCUCGAGUGGCGAACGGGUGAGUAACACGUGAGUAACCUGCCCCUGACUUUGGGAUAACUUCAGGAAACUGGGGCUAAUACCGGAUAGGAGCUCCUGCUGCAUGGUGGGGGUUGGAAAGUUUCGGCGGUUGGGGAUGGACUCGCGGCUUAUCAGCUUGUUGGUGGGGUAGUGGCUUACCAAGGCUUUGACGGGUAGCCGGCCUGAGAGGGUGACCGGCCACAUUGGGACUGAGAUACGGCCCAGACUCCUACGGGAGGCAGCAGUGGGGAAUAUUGCACAAUGGGCGGAAGCAUGAUGCAGCAACGCCGCGUGCGGGAUGACGGCCUUCGGGUUGUAAACCGCUUUCGCCUGUGACGAAGCGUGAGUGACGGUAAUGGGUAAAGAAGCACCGGCUAACUACGU